UACGUAGGGCGCAAGCGUUGUCCGGAAUUAUUGGGCGUAAAGAGCUCGUAGGCGGUUUGUCGCGUCUGUCGUGAAAUCCCGAUGCUUAACGUCGGGCUUGCGGUGGGUACGGGCAGGCUGGAGUGCGGUAGGGGUGACUGGAAUUCCUGGUGUAGCGGUGGAAUGCGCAGAUAUCAGGAGGAACACCGAUGGCGAAGGCAGGUCACUGGGCCGUUACUGACGCUGAGGAGCGAAAGCAUGGGGAGCGAACAGGAUUAGAUACCCCCGUA
Molecule: ribosomal RNA, 269 nt
Filed under: uncultured prokaryote
Description: partial 16S ribosomal RNA
Rfam family: Bacterial small subunit ribosomal RNA
Source: RNAcentral